AUGCCUAUCAUGUACCGUGAGUGUGAAUUUCAUUAGCAAAUAUGGUCUUAAUACACCACGGAUACAUCAUAUAUGAUUGUAGGAUUUGGAUACAAACUCUAAUGAGCUUAUCUACAAGUUUCUUCUUUGGGCAGUGCUAGGCGCGGGUCCGCCGGCCCAAAUUUGGGCCGGUCGCACCUUGCCCGUCCGAUACGUGCCACUUGCACCUUUGAUCUGCUCUCCCUAUUUGCUUCGUCCUACUCCCUUGCCUCAAAAAGUCAACGAAGUGCCUCCCCUUCGUCUGGUCGGGCCAGUCCCAUCUCGGUGCGCGCCAUCCGCCUCGCCGGUGCAGCGGCUUCGACUCCAUCGCACCCCCUGUUGUCACGCUGCCGUCGAGAAUGAUGCACCGCCGUCAGUGGUCACCAUGGUUGCAACUCUGGCACCGCCAGUUCCAACCGCGGUCACCAGGGUUGCAUCACCAGCGUCGCCGUGGUUGACGACUUGCAUUGUCGUGUCCAGAAAAAAAGUCUAAAAGCAAAAAAAUCUUCAUUUGUCACUUGAAGCAAAAAAUUAUCAGGUUCCAGCAAAACAACUCAACAGGAAGAACUCCGAGUUGUCAAUUGUAGCAAAAAAAUAGGUACUUCCAGCAAAAAUAUAUAGUGGUUCCAGCAAAAGAAAACCUCAGCGGCGAGGGCGCGUCCAUUUGCAGCAAGACAACUCAGCAGGAAAGAACUCCCAAUGGUCGAUUGUGGCAAAAAAAAAGGUAGUUCCAGCAAAAAAUACAUUAGUUCCAGCAAAAAAAAAGGCUCGACGGCAAGGGCGCGUCCGGUUCCAGCACAUCGCGUGGUCGAUUGUAGCAAUUACCGAUGCUGGUUCCAGCAAAAUGGUUGGUUGGUUGCAGUAGAGUAUAUCGUCGGGUUCCAGCACAAAUCGCCGCCCGACAGUUCCAGCACGGGCACCAGCCGGCUUGCAACUUCUCCGCCCGUCCGUUCCAGCAUGGCCGCACGGUGAAGCUACGAGCGGUGGGACGCUCCUCCCGAUUGUACGAUGAUGGAGCGCAAAGAUGGUGCUACAGAUCCUCUUCGUCGUCGACGACCGCGGCUUCGGAAGCAGCCGGAUGGCCGGCUCGUCAGCUCGCCCAUAGGCGACUGUGGUGCCCGCUGGAUGCGCUCGAUGGUGGAGCUCGCAGGAAGCCAGGAAGGCGCGGUCCUCGGUGGCUUCACCGACAUCGGUGUGAGGAGAGCAAAUAGUGGCGGUGGCUGGGUGCCCGCGCUGGGAAGAAGGGGAUUAGAGGAGAAGACUUGCGUGGCUACGGG
Molecule: ribosomal RNA, 1295 nt
Filed under: Triticum aestivum (bread wheat)
Lineage: Eukaryota; Viridiplantae; Streptophyta; Magnoliopsida; Poales; Poaceae
Description: partial small subunit ribosomal RNA
Source: RNAcentral